This 440-nucleotide ribosomal RNA is filed under the name uncultured bacterium. RNAcentral describes it as "partial 16S ribosomal RNA". It matches the Rfam family "Bacterial small subunit ribosomal RNA", at positions 338 to 795 of the family's 1533-position model. The record is from RNAcentral.
CCUACGGGAGGCAGCAGUAGGGAAUAUUGCUCAAUGGGGGAAACCCUGAAGCAGCAACGCCGCGUGGAGGAUGAAGGUUUUCGGAUUGUAAACUCCUUUUGUUAGAGAAGAUAAUGACGGUAUCUAACGAAUAAGCACCGGCUAACUCCGUGCCAGCAGCCGCGGUAAUACGGAGGGUGCAAGCGUUACUCGGAAUCGCUGGGCGUAAAGAGCGCGUAGGCGGGAUAGCAAGUCAGAUGUGAAAUCCUAUGGCUUAACCAUAGAACUGCAUUUGAAACUGUUAUUCUAGAGUAUGGGAGAGGUAGGUGGAAUUCUUGGUGUAGGGGUAAAAUGCGUAGAGAUCAAGAGGAAUACUCAUUGCGAAGGCGACCUGCUAGAACAUAACUGACGCUGAUGCGCGAAAGCGUGGGGAGCAAACAGGAUUAGAUACCCCGGUAGUC